This 251-nucleotide unclassified non-coding RNA is filed under the name Hevea brasiliensis (rubber tree). Lineage: Eukaryota; Viridiplantae; Streptophyta; Magnoliopsida; Malpighiales; Euphorbiaceae. The record is from RNAcentral.
AUCAUUAGAAACUGGCAAAUGCUCUUUGUACUCCAUGGUGAACUCUCCUUUACCCUGAGUCAUCGAACGGAGAGAUGUCGAGUAUCCAAACAUAUUAUUUAGCGGAACAUGUGCAGUAAUUAUAGAGUCAUCUCCAUCCUGGUCAUUUCCAACAAUAACACCUUUUCGCUUGUUGAUAUCACCACCAACGGUGCCCUGAAAUUCUGUAGGUACUUUAACUUCUACCAGCAUAACAGGCUCCAAUAUCACCG